UACGUAGGGUGCGAGCGUUAAUCGGAAUUACUGGGCGUAAAGCGUGCGCAGGCGGUUGUGCAAGACAGAUGUGAAAUCCCCGGGCUUAACCUGGGAACUGCAUUUGUGACUGCACGGCUAGAGUGCGGCAGAGGGGAGUGGAAUUCCGCGUGUAGCAGUGAAAUGCGUAGAUAUGCGGAGGAACACCGAUGGCGAAGGCAGCUCCCUGGGCCUGCACUGACGCUCAUGCACGAAAGCGUGGGGAGCAAACAGGAUUAGAUACCCUGGUAGUCCACGCCCUAAACGAUGUCAACUGGUUGUUGGUCCUUCACUGGAUCAGUAACGUAGCUAACGCGUGAAGUUGACCGCCUGGGGAGUACGGCCGCAAGGUUG
Molecule: ribosomal RNA, 372 nt
Filed under: uncultured bacterium
Lineage: Bacteria
Description: bacterial SSU rRNA
Rfam family: Bacterial small subunit ribosomal RNA
Source: RNAcentral